UUAAAUUGAAGAGUUUGAUCAUGGCUCAGAUUGAACGCUGGCGGCAGGCCUAACACAUGCAAGUCGAACGGUAACAGGAAGCAGCUUGCUGCUUCGCUGACGAGUGGCGGACGGGUGAGUAAUGUCUGGGAAACUGCCUGAUGGAGGGGGAUAACUACUGGAAACGGUGGCUAAUACCGCAUAACGUCGCAAGACCAAAGAGGGGGACCUUUGGGCCUCUUGCCAUCAGAUGUGCCCAGAUGGGAUUAGCUUGUUGGUGAGGUAACGGCUCACCAAGGCGACGAUCCCUAGCUGGUCUGAGAGGAUGACCAGCCACACUGGAACUGAGACACGGUCCAGACUCCUACGGGAGGCAGCAGUGGGGAAUAUUGCACAAUGGGCGCAAGCCUGAUGCAGCCAUGCCGCGUGUAUGAAGAAGGCCUUCGGGU
This 428-nucleotide ribosomal RNA is filed under the name Salmonella enterica subsp. enterica serovar Enteritidis. Its description in RNAcentral is "bacterial SSU rRNA". It matches the Rfam family "Bacterial small subunit ribosomal RNA", at positions 1 to 423 of the family's 1533-position model. Lineage: Bacteria; Pseudomonadati; Pseudomonadota; Gammaproteobacteria; Enterobacterales; Enterobacteriaceae. The record is from RNAcentral.